RNAcentral lists this transfer RNA (75 nucleotides) under Symbiochloris sp. SG-2018. Its description in RNAcentral is "tRNA-Thr". It matches the Rfam family "tRNA". From Rfam's summary of the family: Transfer RNA (tRNA) molecules are approximately 80 nucleotides in length. Their secondary structure includes four short double-helical elements and three loops (D, anti-codon, and T loops). RNAcentral also lists the same sequence under 1 other name. The record is from RNAcentral. Lineage: Eukaryota; Viridiplantae; Chlorophyta; Trebouxiophyceae; Trebouxiales; Trebouxiaceae.
AGCCUACUUAACUCAAUUGGCAGAGUAUCGGUUUUGUAAACCGACGGUUAUCGGUUCGACUCCGAUAGUAGGCUA